RNAcentral lists this long non-coding RNA (1530 nucleotides) under Macaca fascicularis (crab-eating macaque). RNAcentral describes it as "lncRNA (ENSMFAG00000061142.1)". Lineage: Eukaryota; Metazoa; Chordata; Mammalia; Primates; Cercopithecidae. The record is from RNAcentral.
UUUUUUUUUUUUUUUUUUUUUCCUGAAAGAGCAUGAAAAAGAAAAUGCAGUGACCACUUGUACAGUUUGGUGCCACUGCUUGAUGUGUGCUAAGGAACCAGUAGUUCUACCCACCGUUGCAUUUACACGAUCAUUGCAAAUGUCAACACAGUGAAAGGGUAUUUAAUGUCUUAGUAUGAAAAUAAUUUGAUCAGCCAUCUAGGGACCACACUUUGAGAAGUGCCAUUCAAGCCACUGAGAAUACUCACAAAGUCCCUGCUUUAAUAAUGUGGGGAUUACACUAUUCUGGAGAUCAAGCACUGGGGGAGAACACUACAGACAAAUAUACAAAUAAAUGAAUAAGCUAACAUGGAGUAGUAAGUGAUACAAUGUAUAUAUAGCAGAGUGGUACUGUAGAGAAGAAAGACCAGAACUGAGGGAUUACUUUAUACUGAAUGGUCAGGGAAGCACCUCUGAGGCAGUGACACUGGAGCUGAACCAUAACUGACAAGGGCCAGUCAUGUAAAUAUCUGGAGAAGGAAAUUUCCAGGCAGAAUAAAGAGACGGUGCAAGUUCCUGAGACGGUAUUGGGCUGUGCAUGUCUGUGGACAAAGAAGCAAAGAAGACUAAUGCGAUUGAAGCCAGCCAAUGAGGUGCCUAAUAGCAGGAGACAUGUUUGUAGAGGUCACAUCCAUUUAUAGGCUAUCUUAGUCCAUUCAGGCUUUUAUAACAAAAUACCUUAGACUGGGUAAUUUUUAAACAACAGAAUUUAUCGUUCACAGUUCUUGAGGCUGGGAAGUCCAAGAUCAAGGUGCCUGGCAGAUUCAGUGUCCUGCUUCAAUGAUGGCACCUUCUAGCUAUGUCCUCACAUGGUAGGAGGAGUGAACAAGUUCCCUCAGAUCUCCUUUAUAAGGGCACUAAUUCAACUCGUGAGGGUGGAACCAUCAUGACCUAAUCACGUUCCAAAGUCCCCAUCAUCUAAUACCAUCAUCACAUUGGGGAUUAGGUUUCAACACUUGAAUUUUGACGGAAGGGGGCCCAAAAAAUUCACCUGACAGAUUGGUGUUCUCUGGAGAGAAUAUGGAAUUUGCCUUCAAGUUCUGUUUUUGUGAACUGCUAGUAGGAUGACUUGAGUCAAGUUGCUUAGAGUCAUUAUUUGGAUUUCCCCAGGAACCAGGCCCUGAGGCAGAGUUUGCAUGCAUGAUAUUUACUGGGUGUAGGGGCAGACCCUGGGGAUUCACACCUGUGUUGCAGUAAGAGAAGCAGAACAGAAAAGAGGCAAAAGAUGAGCUGUGAUGAAGUUUCAGAAGAAGAUUCAGCUGAUCCUACAAUGAAAAAUGUAGCUGGGAUAGGAUGGUCCUUAAGGAAUGUCCUGAAUACAGGCAAGGGAAUUAAGUUUUGUACCCUUUUAUUGGCAAAUCAGUAGAUGUGAGCCACUUCAGGGAGGGUGCCUGAACUUGGGCAAGGCAACUACUUUUGGCACAGGGCAAUUCCUGCAGAGAGAAAUAAACUGAGAUCCAUUAGCAGCCUCCCAUUCUGGCUAGGGGAAGG